AAUUUUGGCCUUAGACAUCACGACAAUUACAUCGGUGAGGAAUUCACGCGAUGUAAAAAAAUAUCAUUAACAUCGAUUCCUCAAAUACCGAUUUCUAUGCAUAUUACUGACAUCGAUUUUUACUGUUGACCGAUGUCUACAAUUUAAUUUUAAAAGUUAAAAAAACGCGGAAACGACUAAGUUUAAAAUUUCGGCACGCGCGGACCAAAAUUUUUGUUCCCCACACACACUUAGUCAUUUUUCCCACUCUCUCUAGCAGCCCAUUUUCAUCCUCACUCACCAUCUCUAACAAAACUGGCGACCCGGCCAUCUCUCUAGCUCUUCCCUGAAACCCUAGCCCUCUCCUCCUACCUCUCCCGCUCUCUUUUCACGGCCACCACUACCUCCCUCUCCUCCGCUCAUUCCCGUUACUAUCUCUCCGGCGCCAUGCCUCUGCUGCCAAGCUCUCUCUCUCUCUCUUUGUCUCACACACACACACACUUUCUCUCUCUAAAACCCUCUCAGUCUCUCUCUGGAAUUGACAAAGAUGAAGUCUAUGCAGCCUCCAAGGAGAAAAGCGCCUCCGCCUUCAGAUCUAACUAUACGGCCUUGGAUUCAAAGCCUUCGCCGGCGGAUAAGUUGAAGAGUCCGUUGCCGCCAAGGCCGCCACCGUCAAAUCCUCUCAAACGUAAGCUGGGACCCUAAGAACUCCGUCCAUGAAGCCUCUGGAUCUCUUCGUCGAGGUCGCAAUUGAAGAGGUUGAGGAUGAAGAAGGGAUCCACAGCUCAGUGUGUUUGCUUGGUUGAUGAAUCUGGUAAUUGGACAAUGCGUCCAUGUCUCUCUAGUGCUGUGAAGCUUCACCCAAAGGUACAUGCUUCUAUUUGUGUCAAUAUGUGUGGUGAGUUAUCGCUUUUUCUUUGAAUAGUUAGCUAUCAUUUUAUUUGAAUACUUUUUUUGAAUGGGCUCGCGCUCGUCGUCGGCUUCGUCGGGCCACUCCAAGGCCAGGUCACAGUUGGCUCAAUAUUUCUCACUUGACGAAGAUCUGGCCGUAUGUAAAUGAGGAGGAGAUACAUGAACUGUGUAACACCCCGAACCCGGAUUAAACGAAAGGGUGAAUUAAAAACAAAUAGAACUCAGUCCAACUCAAAUCCUCCGAAGAGCUUCUUCUUAGGUGUCAGAUUGUUGUUACAUGUUCUUUUGUUUUGGUUUCUAAUGCAUGGACUAGUCUUUGGAUGCUCUGUAGAGGUAGACAGGGAACAUUUUGUGAGCACAAUUAGUUGAAGUUAACUUAUAGUUUUCAUUGCAAUUACAUUAUAACAUAAUACUUUUGACAGUUUUACUUGUUUUUGGUAAGGUACAAAUUGGGUUGAUCUUUUAACUGGUUUUCUGAUUUUCUUGGGCUUAUUAAGAAUAAAAUUUGUGCUGAGAUAUGGGUAAAUUUUUUCUGAAAAGUUUAUAAGGCACAAGCCCAAAUACAAACAUGUUACAGUUUGAGAACUUCUCCGUGUACUGUGAUUUAGUCAUUACCUGAUGAGUUGAAAGGGUACAAGUUCAGUUCAGUUCUUUUAUCCAGGGGUUUGAGGUUCUGUCCAUGUUUAUUGUAUGAACUUCCUACGUUACAUGUUACUGCUCCUGCAUCCCAUACUUCUUUAAUUAUUCUGUUCUAAUCAUUUCGAUUUGCUUACUGGAAAGUUAGGUAAAUUGGUUGCUUCGGGCUACUAAUAUUAUUAUAGAGAAGUUGUGCAGAAAUAACAGAUUCAGAAGGAGUUAAAUUCGCCUCCAUACUUGAUUUUGAGGAGAUUACAUAUUUUUUUAUUCCUCAUUUGUAUUCAUUUAUUUGUACAAAUGUAUUCUUUUCUUUGUGCAUUUGUGUAUGUAAUUAUAUACACACACACAUCCCGUUAACGAAGCCAGGGAAGGACUGAUCAGUCUCUGCUGCAAGUAUCUUAUCAGGUAAAUUACUACUUUUUCUUGUAGUGGUUUCUCUUGAACUUGUCAAGUGCUAUUGCUACUAAUACUAUAUUUCCAGGUGAAUUUGAUGCUUCACAGUUGUGAUGUGUAUUUCGUUUACAGUUAUAAGUGAUCUCUUGUAAUUCUGGAAGAAAACUACAUAUUUGCUAUAUACAAGUUGUCAU
Molecule: long non-coding RNA, 2114 nt
Organism: Rosa rugosa (rugosa rose)
Lineage: Eukaryota; Viridiplantae; Streptophyta; Magnoliopsida; Rosales; Rosaceae
Exons: 4
Source: RefSeq, a predicted model, not a curated record